Long non-coding RNA from Taeniopygia guttata (zebra finch), 2440 nucleotides. The record is from Ensembl. Lineage: Eukaryota; Metazoa; Chordata; Aves; Passeriformes; Estrildidae.
GGGUGAAGGCCGCCGCGGGGACGGCCCGGUUCGGCUGGAGGAGACGCAGCGCCGCACCCGGCCGCCCGAAGGCGGGAGGGAGGGAGAGAGGGAGGGCUAGAGGAAUAGAGGGCGGGCUGGGCUGCUCUGCCCUCCCCUCUCCGCCUUCUCCCUCCUUCCCCCCGAGCGUGGUGUUGUUCCGGCUGGACUCCCGCGUAUACCGUUUCACAUUUCUCCUGCAAGGGUCUUACUGAAGAUCCACAUUUGCAGCUUCGCCAGUCAGGAAAGACCCGGUGUGGCUCAUUCAAGCAUUUUAAGAAAUUGUUAUCUGUCAGUAUCAGGCUGUCUUGAUUGCCCUUAAUGUAAGUUAACUCUAAAUGGCAUUUGAGCAUACCAAAAUGUUUAAAUGAGCCCCGUCUUGGACAAGAUAAGUAAUCAUCCAUACUGCAGUUUACAUUUGAACACAUGCAGCCUAAUCACACUGAAAGAACCUUUAUUUUCCUUCAUCUUCCAAGCUCGUCCUAUUCAGCAGAAGCCUAGGUUUGCCCGUAUUGUUAAACUUAUGCUAUGUUUAUUUUGUGCUUUUCGCUGUUAUUUCAGGAUUUAAUCCAACGCCAGUUACUAGGAUUAGUCUUGGUAGCCCUUUUUAGUCAUGCUUUGUUUCCGUAAGAGCUGACCUUAAGGCAAGUCACCUGCUCAGCAUCAAGUACUCAUGAGUAUUUAAAUAAAUCUUAUUUAAAUCAGCAGGAAGGCAUGCUUUUCUUAGUGCAGUGCCAUUAUUAGUGAAAUCAUCCAUCUGCUUCAUGACUGCAUUUUUGAGGCAUGACUUACCACCAGAGGAGACCUCUUAUGUACAAGUACCUUGAUUUACAGGUCAGACACAGCACCUUUGGUAUUAAUACAUUUAUUAGAAUGUGAUCUUCAUCACCAGAUUCUGUCUCUUUCUGGAACUUAAUGGAGCUUAUUUAAAUGUGGUUUGGGUUGAUACAAGAUAGAAUACUUGGUGGCCUCUACAUUAUUAAGAGACACUGCAGAAACAACAAAAAAAAAAAUUAAAAAAAGCAGGCCAAUGCAUUCAGGGAGGUACAGCUUCAUACAGACACAGGACUUACUAACAGCAUAAAUAUUAUAUCUAUAAAGUAAUGUGUUUCCUGGAUUGUUUUGUUUUUAUAACAAUGCAUAAAGUGCACAUCAAAACCAGCUCUUUCAUAGGAAAGAUUGAGGUGUGGAGGGACUGGGGGGACUUAGGCCUAAUAUCUGUAGCAAAAUCAUAGUGGCUGUAGUAGGGGUAAAAUUAAAUCCAUAAGCAGACAAUGAGAUAUGUUCAUUUGAAGAUUAAGUUAACUUUUUAUUUUGGGUUAGAAGCAAGUGUUACCUCAUGAUGAGUGACUUGGAAUUCUUAAAUCUUUGCAUAUCAUUACACCAUUUGAUUGCCCUUUAAGAAGGAGACAAAAAGUUUCGAUUGAGGUAAGUAGGUCAUUAGCUGAACCAUCUAAUUUAUUUUAUAUUCUUCAGACAUUUAGUCUGAGUUGGUAGUCUGAAAAAUGAAAACAGAUUUGUGAAGUGUAUUAAUAGCAAAGAAUGAAAUGUGUUGCUAGGAGUGGACUAGAGAAGCGAAAAUCUACAUUUAAUUAUCAAAUCAAUGUCAAUUAAAAUUGAACCAAAUUAUUCAAAAUUAAUUAUAUGGGUCAUAAAAUGAGUGCAGCCAAUCAGCAAAUUAUCAUGUCAAUGUAGCAAGAUAAGUAAAUUCUUUAAAUAAAAAUCAGAAAUAACAAUUGAAUUUUAAGUCCCAGUUAUGAGUGUUUCCCAAAGUAGUGAAAUUAAGACAAUUGACUGAAUCAGUGUGCAAAACAAGUAUUGCAAAGUGACCUGCUACCCUGUUUUAACCCUCCCCUUUCCCCACAGCCCAAAUCAGACAGCUGGAUUCAGCUGGCAGAGUCAAACUCAUCAAGCAGGUGAGACAGAUUAUUUCCAGGUGACAAAGUUGCUGUAACCCUGCAGGUACAGUGCUCAUGGUUGCAUCCGUGACUUAGGCUCCAGUGGGGGUAAGCUGCAGGUACCCAUGCACCUGCCACUUCUGUGCCUUGACUCAAGAGAAGCUGAAAGUGACAUUGCAUAGAUAGAGAGCACCAGAGCUGCUAGGCUUACAUAAAGAAGGCAGAUUUUCAGGUGGGUUUUUUUUUUUGGGUUCAUUGUUCCUCCAAAAAUAUUACUGAGUGGAGGCUGCUGUGCUACUCUGAACUAGUACUUCUCUCAACCAGUGUUUAAGAUUACACUCUGAAAUAUUGAAAAAACACCUAAGCACAGCAUGCUAAGCAGAAGACACAAUUCCUGAAGUACCUGAUACCAGUAGUGCUGCUGUAGCAAAGGUUGGGAGAACUGUUAUCUUCUGCUUGAUUAUCCCCAGCUUAGAAAACUGGCCAGUUUUAGGGUAAGCAGAAACACCUGAGGGAGCCUGAGG